This 1954-nucleotide long non-coding RNA is filed under the name Homo sapiens (human). Its description in RNAcentral is "HSALNT0224107". Lineage: Eukaryota; Metazoa; Chordata; Mammalia; Primates; Hominidae. The record is from RNAcentral.
AGCGGUCUAGAGAGCCCACUGGAGAAAAGGAAAAAUUAACACUAUCAUGUUGAGUCUUCUAAUCCAUGAAAAUGGAUAUAUGAGGCAAAAAGAAAACCCACGGCACUCAUGACAAUGUUGUUCCUUUGGUCCGGAGGUCACCAGAGGAAUCUAUUGGAAAUAUAGGGGAGUUUCAUAAAACUGAGAAGAUGAGGAUGAAGGCUUAGAAAAUGGCAAGACCUCUUGAAAAUCAAUAGCAGGAUAUAUAGCAUCUGUGUUAUAGGAGAUUUGGUAAAGACAACCUCAAGCUGGAGACAGCUACAGCCACCAAGGAAAACCAUAACAGCUGUUGGAAACUCACCUCAAACAUUCCUCCAUCUUUGUAUCAUUUUAUCCAGAAUCAGCCCUGAACAGCAAUACCUGACUGUGUAGGGAGUGCACUUCUAUACUGGCUGUGGUGCUGAGAGGAGAGAGCUCUCACUUUGACUUCCAUUAUGGAAGGUGUGUGGUACUGCAAUCUACCACUAAUAUGUGCAACAAGGGAACUCUUCAAAAACAAGAACUGAAUGCUGGACAGCCAAAAGUUAAAUGACAAAAUGUUUAUCACACAUGAAUCAAGAAUUUGUAGACGUGCGAAAUUUUAAUCAGGGAACUCUGAGGAACUGAGAAGGGUGAAAAGGAGAUAAGCCUGAAGACUAAAGACAUAAUUUUAAUCAUAAUUUCUCAAAAACAGCAAAGGGUAGGUUCUAGAAAGUGCCAGCUAAUAAACUAAGGAGUAUUGGUAGCAAAGAAUAGGCUGAGUUGAGAAAUCCAGGUUGAAAAGAGUCAAGAUCAGGAAGGAAGUUGGUCAGACAAUAUUCUAAAAGAGCUUCUUAAACAGCUGAUCUGUUACCAAUGAAACAUUGUGAAGCACAAGAGUCAAUGCAUUCAGUUAUGGGCUUGUAAUUCAAAAAGUUCUUAAAAGCUUGGAAACCUGGGCCAAAACAUUCUGGAAUAAAUGGGACAAACGUAAUGGGGCAAAUGUGAAAUUUUGCAUGUGGGUUCGAAAAUGCAAUUGUUCUUACAGGAGAUGGAAUUUAGCCUUCGCUCAGAAAUUUAAUAGUAUAUGAGACUUGAAAGAUCAUAUAUUAAUAGUUCAAUUGCCUUAUUUAACAGGGAUAUUAACUUGAAGCCCAGAAAACGGGACUUGCCCAAGGAUUCACAGCCAAAUAGUAGUAAAACCAGAAUUAGCACUCAAGUUUGAUGACUAACUUCCUUAAAAUACUUUAAAAUUACCCUAAAAUGCCUUUAACCUGACAUCCAUCCCCAAGGAAAUAAUUUGAAGCUUACCAGCAUGCAUUUAAUGGGUGCCAAUGGUAUUCUGCAGCUGCUAAAAUAUUACCACAAACUUAGCCCGCAAUAAAAGAGGCAGAGUGUUCAGAGCUGGAAAAAUGGUGCAGCAUCUUCUACCCGAGUCAGCCAAUCUUGGAGGAUUACACUUGUUUCCCUCAAUCAUAUUUAAGGAGGAUUCUGGCCAACAUAAACUCUAAAAGAGUGAAUCCUUAAAGAUGGAUCCUGAGUGGCGAACUGGGCCUAAAUGUAAAAUACAACCAAGCAGCCAUUUGCUGAAGAAAGGUCACACAGGUACUCAGCAUCCCAGGAAAACCCACACACACAUAACUUUGGGACUUUCAAAGUUGUCUUUUUCUGUUUAUGCUGCCUGAAUCAAACUAUAGGCUGUGACCUGCAUCCACCAAUCAGAAGUCAAUGAGCAUCAAUCAAUCAGGACUAAGCAAGUGUGCAUCCCUCAUUUGCAUAAGUGGGCCCAUGUGGGAACUUUUUCUAUAAAACAUAACCCUCUCUUUGUUCUCUGGGAAUGCAUCUUUGUUUUGUACUGAAGUCUUUAUCAAAUUUUUGGUUUGCAAACUGCACAAAGAAAUGAAGUCUCUCUUAACCCAAUACUUCUUUCUCAGUAGUCUUGUUAACACUAACUAGG